GACGAACGCUGGCGGUGUGCUUAACACAUGCAAGUCGAACGGAAAGGCCCUGCUUUUGUGGGGUGCUCGAGUGGCGAACGGGUGAGUAACACGUGAGUAACCUGCCCUUGACUUUGGGAUAACUUCAGGAAACUGGGGCUAAAACCGGAUAGGAGCUCCUGCUGCAUGGUGGGGGUUGGAAAGUUUCGGCGGUUGGGGAUGGACUCGCGGCUUAUCAGCUUGUUGGUGGGGUAGUGGCUUACCAAGGCUUUGACGGGUAGCCGGCCUGAGAGGGUGACCGGCCACAUUGGGACUGAGAUACGGCCCAGACUCCUACGGGAGGCAGCAGUGGGGAAUAUUGCACAAUGGGCGGAAGCCUGAUGCAGCAACGCCGCGUGCGGGAUGACGGCCUUCGGGUUGUAAACCGCUUUCGCCUGUGACGAAGCGUGAGUGACGGUAAUGGGUAAAGAAGCACCGGCUAACUACGUG
This 468-nucleotide ribosomal RNA is filed under the name uncultured bacterium. Its description in RNAcentral is "partial 16S ribosomal RNA". It matches the Rfam family "Bacterial small subunit ribosomal RNA", at positions 28 to 507 of the family's 1533-position model. The record is from RNAcentral.